CCGGCGACCGGCGCACGGGUGAGUAACACGUAUGAAACCUGCCCGUAGCAGGGGAUAAGCGGAAGAAAUUCCGUCUAAUACCGCGUAACAACCCAUGGAGGCAUCUCUGUGGGUUUAAAGGAAGCGAUUCCGGCUACGGAUGGUCAUGCGUCGCAUUAGCUUGUUGGCGGGGUAACGGCCCACCAAGGCGACGAUGCGUAGGGGUUCUGAGAGGAAGGUCCCCCACACUGGUACUGAGACACGGACCAGACUCCUACGGAAGGCAGCAG
RNAcentral lists this ribosomal RNA (269 nucleotides) under uncultured bacterium. RNAcentral describes it as "partial 16S ribosomal RNA". It matches the Rfam family "Bacterial small subunit ribosomal RNA", at positions 88 to 354 of the family's 1533-position model. The record is from RNAcentral.